This is a non-coding RNA of Canis lupus familiaris (dog), 57 nucleotides long. Lineage: Eukaryota; Metazoa; Chordata; Mammalia; Carnivora; Canidae. The record is from Rfam.
GCCUGGGUGGCUCAAUGGUUGAGCAUCUGCCUUUGAUUCAGAAUGUGAUCCCAGGUC